GGGCGGUUGGCUCAGACGGCUAGAGCGCUACCUUCACACGGUAGAGGUCGGGGGUUCGAAUCCCUCACCGCCCA
RNAcentral lists this transfer RNA (74 nucleotides) under Candidatus Omnitrophota bacterium. RNAcentral's name for it is "Candidatus Omnitrophica bacterium tRNA-Val". It matches the Rfam family "tRNA". Rfam says of the family: Transfer RNA (tRNA) molecules are approximately 80 nucleotides in length. Their secondary structure includes four short double-helical elements and three loops (D, anti-codon, and T loops). Lineage: Bacteria; Pseudomonadati; Candidatus Omnitrophota. The record is from RNAcentral.